RNAcentral lists this long non-coding RNA (2968 nucleotides) under Mus musculus (house mouse). Its description in RNAcentral is "long non-coding RNA chr12:81671609-81674577". Lineage: Eukaryota; Metazoa; Chordata; Mammalia; Rodentia; Muridae. The record is from RNAcentral.
CCCACAUUAGCAGAUGAUCAAUAACAUUAACGAAGUGCAUAUCAAAACCACAGUGAUCUACCACUUUGUGCCCUUAGGAUGGGUCAUCAGACAAUUAACAAAAGGAACUGCAUUUGUAUUCAUUUAUUUCUUUGGUUUGGUUUGGUGUUUUAUUUUUCCCAGACAGGGAGAGUUUCUCUGUGUAAUCCUGGCUGUCCUGGAACUUACUGUAGACCAAAAUCAGAGAUCUGCCAGUGUCUGCCUCCUGAAUGCUAAGAUUAAAGGUGUGUGCCACCAUUAACUUUUCUUAUCACGGUGACCAAAAUGCCUGUCAGAAGAAACUCAAGGGAAGAAGGAGUUGUUUUGAGAAUACAGUCAGUCCAUCAGGGAAAGAAAGACAUGAUGGCUGGGCUGACUUCUGUCUAUGGUAUCAGGAGCUUUUGAAACCCAUUAUUACAUUUCAGCAGAUCAGAAAGCAGGAAGCUAGACCAACUUGUCACCCUCCAAGCCCACCCCUAUGCUCUGCACUUGCCAGCUAGGUUCCACAUCUAAGUAUUUCUUCAGUCUUCUCAUGCCCUGUUUACUCACAGUUUCUAUUGCUGUGAAGAGACGCCAUGACUCUUAUAAAGGAAACCAUUUAACUGGGGCUGGCUUACAGUUUCAAAGAUUUAGUCCAUUAUCAUCAUGGUCAGAAACAUGUUGGCAUGGAGUCAGACAGGGUGCUGGAGAAGUCGCAGAGAGUUCUACAUCUGGAUCUACAGGCAGCAGAGGGGGGGCGCAGGCAGACAGACACUGGUCUGGCUUGAGCUUUUGAAACCCCAAAGCCCACCCUAAGUGACACACUUUCCUAGGCCACACCUCCUAUGGGCUACCCUCUAGGGGCCUAUGGAAGCCAUUUUUAAUCAAACCACCACAUUCCCCAAAAGAGGCAGUUACCACAAGCCAUCUUGCCACAUUUUCCCCCAGUUUCUCAAGCCUGGGUUCAAAUAAAGUCAUGUCUGUUACCUUUGUAGGCCCAAGGGUUGAGCAAUCACAGUAGACACUGAAGUUGUGUCUGAUUAAGUCUCUCAACUGAUUACUGGCGUGCUCUCUGAAUGUAAUCAGAGGGUUAGCAAGACCCAUGAUCCUGGGAUUCUUCCAGCACAAGCUGUUGGUGGCCCCGUGUUCAAAGCAUUGGGGACAUUUCCAACAUGUCUUGGUUACUGAUCUAUUGCUCUGAAAAGACACCGUGAUCAAGACGAUUUAUAAAGUAAAGCUUUUAACUUGGGGUUUGCUUAUAGUUCCAGAGGGUAAGUUUAUGACCCUCAUGACAUGGUAUCUUGAUAAGAGACUAGUAAUAUAGUUUAGCUAGCCCAAUAGAUCUAAAAUGUUACCAUUUCAUCACUCAGUAUAAAAACAUAUAUUUAAUGUCCCUUUCUUUAGGUGUGUGUGUGUGUGUGUGUGUGUGUGUGUGUGCCUGAGUGUGAGCACUUGUUGUACCAGUUCUAGAAAUGGGGCUCAAGUAAUCUUUAAGAGCACUGCUUGCUCUUAAUCUCAAAUCAUCUCUCUAGCCCUCAUAUUCCUCUUUUUUUUUUUUUUGUAAUGUAGUAUGUAACUUACACUUAAGAGCACAUACCAUUUAGACUAGCCCAAGUGCAAUUGCUUAAUGAUAACAUGUGGCUAGGAGCUACCCCAUCAGACCACACAGUUGUAGUUCUUCACAGAAGAUUCUGCGAAGACGGAACAGUCACCAAAUUGCAGGAACCUUCUUGGUGGUUUUCAUCCUGAUCCUUCACGGAGUUUCCAACACCAUCAUUUCCAGGCUCCUCUGAGGUCCACCAAGGCAAGACACAGCCAAGAACGCUGCAGAGAAGAGGAGGCCCCGUUCCAUGAGCCGCCUCUGCCAGUCCUAUGUUGACCCCACACAGCCUUUCUAAGGUGCAAGUUCAGACUCUCAAACUUACCAGGUACAUGUCUCAUUUAAAAAGAUAUGGAGAUUAUUAUAAUCCCAACUUACAGAAUCUCUGUGAGGACUGCAUGUGAUGACAUAUACAAAAUGCCACAUAGAGAAUGCAAAGUCAGCAUGCUUUAGAAUUAGCUUAUUAUGAACCGACAUCAUUAAUCAUCUCUCAACUUUAACACAGAGCCUGGCCCACAUCAGAUUCAUGGAAAACAUCUAUCUCCACAAGGGAACCUUAUGCCAGUGAGCUGACUCCUGGAUCCUAACUCUGACACGGUCAUUUCACUUCCACUGGUUGGGAUGUACCCUCCCACAGCUGGUAGGCAUCCCCAGGAGCAUCCACCACAGCCUGCCUUUGGCUUUCGGUUCAUAGCAAGUUCUUCCCUGUGGUGUCAUUCCAAAUAGUUAAAGACUCUCUCUGAGGUCUCUCACGUUCUCCUGUUUCCCUAGCCUGUACAUCUUUGGUUUCUUCAGCUCUCCUUUAUUUAACAGAUUGUCCGGCUCUAAGCCUCCUAAAAUGAGGCAGACUGAACUGGAAAGAGACUUUGAUCGUCCCAACAUUUGGACUUCCUCAACACCUUUGUGGUCAGACCAUCUCACACUUUGUCUGUGGUGUGCUCGUAGCCCUAUCUUGGAUUUGUAUCACUGAUGUUUAAUUAUUGCCUUAUAAUUAUGUGUGCCGUAUACCCUAUCCCCUGUCCGCACUUUCCCUUUGUGUUGUUUUGGUUACCUGUGCUCCCUGAGUCUGAAAAUAGUAAAUGAAAAACUCCAUAAUAAAAGCCAUAAAUUCUGAACGGUGCACUGUUCCAAGAAGCCUGAUAAAAUCUCACACCAUCCUGCGCCAACCUGCACGGGGCACGGGGCAUCGUCAUCCAACACACCCACCCUGUGUAUGCUGCCCGCCCAACAGUCAUUAGUGGCUAUCUCAGCUGUCAGAUCAACUGUCACAGUGUCCCAGCACUAGGGUUUAAGUGGCCAUUAUCAUACUUAAGAAUGGCCCAGGGCAUGGAACCAGUGAGCUAAAAAUUUGGAUGUGUCAAAGAGAAGCUU